Molecule: long non-coding RNA, 373 nt
Organism: Adelges cooleyi (spruce gall adelgid)
Lineage: Eukaryota; Metazoa; Arthropoda; Insecta; Hemiptera; Adelgidae
Exons: 3
Source: RefSeq, a predicted model, not a curated record
CAUAUUCAACGGCCAACGCUCGUCUAAAUUACAUAAGACUAAUGAACGUUACAGCUUUUUGAGCAACCACGGUACCACGACAUCAUUAAAAUCAAAACUAUUGGUUCAUCUUAAAUGGCGGCUAGCUGGUUAAAUUCGGCAAGAAAGGUUGAGGCCGAAGAUUCAAUCGAAAUAAGAUGGGCACAUCUAGCGUUUCUCGUCGACUUCGCUGUUGAUCUGAAAAAAUCAUUGCAAUGAUUUAACGAGCAAAGUUUCAACCACUUUGUAUUACAAAUGGCUUCACUUCCUGGUAUGUGGGCAAGAACCAUAAAAAUUGGCAGCCAAAACAUUUAACAUGACUAGUUGGAAACUUGGUCAGGCGUAUCGUCCAGAU